RNAcentral lists this small nucleolar RNA (133 nucleotides) under Physeter macrocephalus (sperm whale). Its description in RNAcentral is "Physeter catodon (sperm whale) Small nucleolar RNA SNORA42/SNORA80 family (ENSPCTG00005005845.1)". It matches the Rfam family "Small nucleolar RNA SNORA42/SNORA80 family". From Rfam's summary of the family: The members of this family belong to the H/ACA class of snoRNAs that guide the sites of modification of uridines to pseudouridines. The record is from Rfam by way of RNAcentral. Lineage: Eukaryota; Metazoa; Chordata; Mammalia; Artiodactyla; Physeteridae.
UCAAGAAAACUAGUUUAAUGGCAGGCCCGUCCCCCUGGGCCUCUCAUAGUGUCCCAUGCCAGAGCAAACUGGCCCAGAACCAUUGCCUGGCCUCUACCCAUAGGCUGCAGACACUGAAGCAGGUUGUACAGUG